Ornithodoros turicata is the source of this 528-nucleotide long non-coding RNA. RefSeq lists it as uncharacterized. Lineage: Eukaryota; Metazoa; Arthropoda; Arachnida; Ixodida; Argasidae. The record is from RefSeq and is a predicted model, not a curated record. The transcript is spliced from 3 exons.
GAUGGUUGGUUGUCGUAAUUCACGUCAAUAUUGCAUCCAAUGUCAUAUGGCAUCCAAUGUCAUAUGCUUCCGGCCGGCCCAGUGACGCGACGGACAGCUUUUGAUGCCACGAAGCAAUCGGACCGCCGGAAUGGAAAGAUGGCGCGGUGCCAUCGACUGCUCGUGUUUGUAGCGAACAUUUUCAUGAUUGCGAUUACGAAUGGGACGCUGAAUCUCUUCAACGUACUGGAUAACGAGCUCAGUGUCUUUUGAAUCAAGGUGUAGCACCAUCACAAUACCUGUCCUCACCGGGGAAAGAACAUCCGCCUCAACGGCGCAGAAGUGUAACUUCCUCAGCGGAGCCUGAAACCCCCGAGGGCGACCCAUGUGUAUGGCAGCUGAAGUCUUCCACCAGGGUAACAUGCCAGAAAAGCUACGGCAAGUGCUCUGCAGUUCACCUCUAAAAUAAAUAAACCUAAGUUUGAUGCACUAUGUCCUCAGGAAAUUUUGUUCCUGCUACAACACUGCACUUUGUUUUACAUUACCAAA